GCCCGCUCAGCAACUCAAAGGAAUUGACGGGGGCCCGCGACAAGCGGAGGAGCAUGUGGUUUUAAUUCGAUGAUACGCGAGGAACCUUACCUGGGCUCGAACGUAAGAUGACUGUAGGUGAAAGCUUACAUCUCUUCGGAGCAUUUUACGAGGUGCUGCAUGGUUGUCGUCAGCUCGUGCCGUGAGGUGUCGGGUUAAGUCCCAUAACGAGCGCAACCCCUACCUUUAGUUGCCAUCAGGUUAAGCUGGGGACUCUAAAGGAACUGCCUACGCAAGUAGUGAGGAAGGCGGGGAUGACGUCAAAUCAGCACGGCCCUUACGUCCAGGGCUACACACGUGCUACAAUGGCCGAUACAGAGGGCAGCUACCUGGUGACAGGAUGCAAAUCUCCAAAGUCGGUCUCAGUUCGGAUCGGAGUCUGCAACCCGACUCCGUGAAGUUGGAUUCGCUAGUAAUCGCGCAUCAGCCAUGGCGCGGUGAAUACGUUCCCGGGCCUU
RNAcentral lists this ribosomal RNA (497 nucleotides) under uncultured Sphingobacteriales bacterium. Its description in RNAcentral is "bacterial SSU rRNA". It matches the Rfam family "Bacterial small subunit ribosomal RNA", at positions 887 to 1382 of the family's 1533-position model. Lineage: Bacteria; Pseudomonadati; Bacteroidota; Sphingobacteriia; Sphingobacteriales. The record is from RNAcentral.